CUGUGCUACAGAAGCAUCACUUCCCUUGUGAAGAUGUUGCCAGACUGCUGCUGAAGUGAGGAUUGGCGCUAAGCAGGGUCAUAAUCUGAAGCAAUUCUGCAAGCUCUAUCCUUCAGAGUCCCAAGGCCCACCUCUCAGCGACUUCCUUCCAUAUGAAACAUUUACCUGCUUCGGUGGCUAGCAAGACCCUCCUUGUCAAAGGACAGUCAGCUGCACUGUGAAAUUCGAGUUGUCUCCAGAAGGAAGAAGUCACACACCUUCAACGAAGGCGCCGAGAGAGAGCGAGCUCCACACCAACAGAAGCGUCUUAAUUUUUGCAGAUUAUGAGGACGCUUUCAUAAAAUCGUAAGGAUCUCUGGUGUCUCCCAGCUCAGGACAGAAAUGUGGCAGUGGGUAACUUCGGGACGUGAGCCUGAAAUCCCCAGAGCAGAUAACACCCAGCGCGUCGGUCCUGAUCCAGCUUCAAGUCAGCAGGCCUCCCCGGACCAUCUGCGCUCCAUAAAUUCCAGUAACACUGGCACAUGAGGCUUGUAAAUCACCACCAAACGGGUUUCACCUGUGACACAGGACAUGAACCCUGCUGUAUAUUCCAAUAAACUCCCAUAAACCAUCUGA
Molecule: long non-coding RNA, 615 nt
Organism: Mesocricetus auratus (golden hamster)
Lineage: Eukaryota; Metazoa; Chordata; Mammalia; Rodentia; Cricetidae
Exons: 3
Source: RefSeq, a predicted model, not a curated record